UAAUAGGGAACUCAUCUAUAAAAACAAACACUUGUUAUACUUUUAUGAAUUAUCAAGUUGUACAACACACAGCAAUAAGGAUUUAGACAAACAAUCACAGAUUUUAUUAAUUUUAUUGUUGUGUCUAAUAUAUAUAGAAACAACUUGUGUUGUAAAAGAAAGGAUGACAGCAUAUCUCUUUAUCACGUGCCAGUAUUGGCCCUGACUGCACGUGAGAACAUUUGAAUUAUCUGGCACGAGGCCUCACACGUCAUACUUCAACUGACACAACGGUCUCGAUGGGUAAGAUUUCGUUACCAUAUACAGUAAAUAUUGGUUCAAGAGGGCAGUUUGAUAACUCAGUCGAGGUUUGUAAAUGGGGUUUCUGUUCCUGCAGUCUUUCAGGGGUGCUGGCGCGUAUGACGAUGCGGACAUGAACAGCAUACUACAGUAUACCGCCACCUACUGUACUGUAGUACAAUAACGUGUAGGAUUGAAUACUGUGCCAAACGCAGUAAAAAAAAAAAAGCCAUUUAAUUCAUUGUAAAAACAAUGGACAUGCCAGUUCAAGUAACUUGUGGGCUAAAUCACCAAAAUAAGUUUGUAGAUGUGGUUCAAUUAUUUUUAAUGUGCAGCAUAAUGAAUCAGCCUGAAUGCAUGUAGCCUGUGAACAUAUUGUUUAGACUUUAUUUUUAAACCUUUAUCUGGUGUAUGGUUAAACCUUAUGAUGGUAGCAAUUGAAUACAAAUCUUAAACUGAAUCAAAUCUCUUAUAAUAAUACAUAAAAUCUCUGGGACGGUUGGGGGUACAUCAGGGUAACAUUUAAGCAGCUUAAUUUUUUUAAUUCUUUUAUAUAUUUUGAUGUGUAUAUAUAUAUAUUUACUUUCUUUAUUUUGUUUUCUCAGCUUUUAAACAUCUAAACAUGUCCUCCAAAAAGGUUUCCUGUGCUGUUUUGCUCCAUUUUACUGAACAAAAUAAGGCUGAGGUAGCACCAUCCUUGUGGUUAGAGUGAAAGAAUGUGGGUAUUGAGACCAAAAUAAACAAUGUGCCAUUCUGGACAAACAGCUGUGGACAAUAUGCAGUCAGAGUAGCCCAUUUUCUCACACAGACCUGAGGAUAAGAUUUCCAGUUUGAAAGUGAAGAAAAUGAAUCAUUAUUAACAGCAAAUAGGAGUAUUUCUCAGCUGAAAAGCCAGGUGAAACUAUAAGGUCACUAUGAUUCACUUUCAUAUUAUCAUUCUUUUCAGAUUUUUUUCCCUGUGUUUUUUUUGUUAGAUGAGGAGCAACCAGUAAGAAAAAGCAAAAAGAUGUUUUGAUGUUGCCUGAGGCACCUUAUUUUCCAUUUCAUGCACAAUCACAAAUGCAGCACAUCAAUCAAUUUCUUCCAACCAGCGAAUCAAGAAAUCUUGGAGUGGAGAAUCAUUUUGAAAGUAGACCAAAUCCAGGACAACAUCACAACAGUGGUCGGAAAAAUGCAGCAAGCCAAGCUGACUUUCAAAAGAUGAUUCGUUAUCUGUUUCUUCAGAGGGGAGGCAGUUUGGGAGAUGGGAAUUAGGAGGAUGCUACAGUUACACAGGGCAAAUUUCAGCAGCUCAGUUUCAAACUUGCAACUAACAUUGAGUUAAACUGGUCAGGGUGGAAGACCAGCUGACGUACCAGUUUUGCCAGGUUAAAGGACCAGCUUAAACCAGCUAAGACAGCCAACCAACUUAGCCAAGGUGGUAUAUGCUGGUGGGUCAGCUGGUCUUCCCGCCUGACCAGCUACAAAGUGUCCAAAACCUCUGUAAAACAAUCCUGCUACACCAGCCUGACCAGCUGAAACCAUACUGAGUUAGAAGACCACGGAAAUAUUUGACAUCGGAGUCCAGCAGACAGCCAGAGACACGCACACACACGCA
Molecule: non-coding RNA, 1876 nt
Organism: Paramisgurnus dabryanus
Lineage: Eukaryota; Metazoa; Chordata; Actinopteri; Cypriniformes; Cobitidae
Source: RefSeq, a predicted model, not a curated record